GGAAGUGGCUGGGCUGGCCGGACGGGCGCGGCUCGGUCGGCAAGCGUAGUCCCUGACUGGCAACUUGUCUGUCCUUCCCUGACCCUGGAAGGCAUUUCGGUGCUUGCCUUUGACGGCCCCAAGGUGAGCGCGACCUUCUGGCCGCGGCAGACCGACCUCGCCAAACCUGGGGCAGCCCCAGUAGAGGAACCGGAGGCUGAAGAGUGAGCACCAGCACAGAUCUGGGGCCCUCAUCUGCUGCCCCGAAAUCAGCCGACUGUCACCUGGGCCACUCGUACCGGGACUGCCAGAAUGGCAGGCUACUCAGAAAGUAUGCCUGGCAUCUGUGAUCUGUGCAAGGGUGGGGCGGCACAAAGUCAGACCAGGACUGACGUCGUGGGAGGAGAAAACCACUCCUUGAAGUCCACACACACUAAAAG
This 419-nucleotide long non-coding RNA is filed under the name Mus caroli (Ryukyu mouse). Its description in RNAcentral is "lncRNA (MGP_CAROLIEiJ_G0002294.1)". Lineage: Eukaryota; Metazoa; Chordata; Mammalia; Rodentia; Muridae. The record is from RNAcentral.